CCUACGGGAGGCAGCAGUGAGGAAUAUUGGUCAAUGGCCGAGAGGCUGAACCAGCCAAGUCGCGUGAGGGAAGACGGCCCUACGGGUUGUAAACCUCUUUUGUCGGGGAGCAAAGAGAGUCACGUGUGACUCAUUGAGAGUACCCGAAGAAAAAGAAUCGGCUAACUCCGUGCCAGCACACGCGGUAAUAAGGAGGAUGGGAGCGUUAUCCGGAUUUAUUGGGGGUAAAGGGUGCGCAGGCGGAGGUGCAAGUCAGCGGUCAAACUGCGGGGCUCAACCCCGUACUGCCGUUGAAACUGGAUGCCUUGAGUGCGCGAGAGGUAUGCGGAAUGCGUGGUGUAGCGGUGAAAUGCAUAGAUAUCACGCAGAACUCCGGUUGCGAAGGCAGCAGACCGGCGCGCAACUGACGCUCAUGCACGAAAGCGUGGGUAUCGAACAGGAUUAGAUACCCCGGUAGUC
RNAcentral lists this ribosomal RNA (459 nucleotides) under uncultured bacterium. Its description in RNAcentral is "partial 16S ribosomal RNA". It matches the Rfam family "Bacterial small subunit ribosomal RNA", at positions 338 to 795 of the family's 1533-position model. The record is from RNAcentral.